This 454-nucleotide ribosomal RNA is filed under the name uncultured bacterium. RNAcentral describes it as "partial 16S ribosomal RNA". It matches the Rfam family "Bacterial small subunit ribosomal RNA", at positions 28 to 507 of the family's 1533-position model. The record is from RNAcentral.
GAUGAACGCUGACAGAAUGCUUAACACAUGCAAGUCAACUUGAACUUCGGUUUGGGUGGCGGACGGGUGAGUAACGCGUAAAGAACUUGCCUCGCAGAUAGGGACAACAUUUGGAAACGAAUGCUAAUACCUGAUAUUAUGAUUAUAUGGCAUCGUAUAAUUAUGAAAGCUAUAUGCGCUGUGAGAGAGCUUUGCGUCCCAUUAGCUAGUUGGAGAGGUAACGGCUCACCAAGGCGAUGAUGGGUAGCCGGCCUGAGAGGGUGAUCGGCCACAAGGGGACUGAGACACGGCCCUUACUCCUACGGGAGGCAGCAGUGGGGAAUAUUGGACAAUGGACCAAGAGUCUGAUCCAGCAAUUCUGUGUGCACGAUGAAGUUUUUCGGAAUGUAAAGUGCUUUCAGUUGGGAAGAAAAAAAUGACGGUACCAACAGAAGAAGUGACGGCUAAAUACGUG